Stegodyphus dumicola is the source of this 177-nucleotide long non-coding RNA. The record is from RefSeq and is a predicted model, not a curated record. Lineage: Eukaryota; Metazoa; Arthropoda; Arachnida; Araneae; Eresidae.
UGUUUGUGUUUUAGGGUAGCGGAGAUGGAAGGGGAGAUGUGGGAAUAGAAGAAAUUGACAUACGAGAUGAUGAAGAGUUACCUUCCUUUCCGUUGACUACGCCUGGAAAAUCUGAUCAAGGUCCACCCCCAUUGAUUACGCCUCCACCACCCGGUCCAGGGUCUUUAGGUGCUGAAA